UACGUCUAAGUAUAAAUCGUUUAUACAGGUGAAACUGCGAAUGGCUCAUUAAAUCAUGUAUAAUUUAUUUGAUAGUACCUUACUACUUGGAUAACCGUGGUAAUUCUAGAGCUAAUACAUGCUAAAACCUCCGACUUCUCCAAGGGGUGUAUUUAUUAGAUAAUAAACCAAUAUCGGGCAACCGAUCCAUUGGUGAUUCAUAAUAACUUUUCGAAUCGUAUGACUUUACGUCGACGAUGAAUACUUCAAAUUUCUGCCCUAUCAACUUUCGAUCGUAGGAUAAGGCCUACCAUGGGUGGUAACGGGUAACGGGUUAGGGCACGACACCGGAGGGGGAGCCUGAGAAACGGGGUACCAACCCAAGGAUGGCAGCAGGCGCGGCAAAUUACCCAAUCCCGAACACCGGGGAGGUAGUGACAAUAAAAUAACAUACGGGGUUCUUUCGGAUCUCGUAAUUGGAAUGAGUACAAUUUUUUUCCCCCCUUUUU
This 488-nucleotide ribosomal RNA is filed under the name Rhizophagus clarus. Its description in RNAcentral is "SSU rRNA". It matches the Rfam family "Eukaryotic small subunit ribosomal RNA", at positions 54 to 537 of the family's 1831-position model. Lineage: Eukaryota; Fungi; Glomeromycota; Glomeromycetes; Glomerales; Glomeraceae. The record is from RNAcentral.